RNAcentral lists this ribosomal RNA (433 nucleotides) under uncultured bacterium. Its description in RNAcentral is "partial 16S ribosomal RNA". It matches the Rfam family "Bacterial small subunit ribosomal RNA", at positions 29 to 507 of the family's 1533-position model. The record is from RNAcentral.
AACGAACGCUGGCGGCAUGCCUAACACAUGCAAGUCGAACGAGACCUUCGGGGCUAGUGGCGCACGGGUGCGUAACGCGUGGGAACCUGCCCUUAGGUUCGGAAUAACCCAGAGAAAUUUGAGCUAAUACCGGAUAAUUUCUUCGGACCAAAGAUUUAUCGCCUUUGGAUGGGCCCGCGUAGGAUUAGCUUGUUGGUGGGGUAAUGGCCUACCAAGGCGACGAUCCUUAGCUGGUCUGAGAGGAUGAUCAGCCACACUGGGACUGAGACACGGCCCAGACUCCUACGGGAGGCAGCAGUGGGGAAUAUUGGACAAUGGGCGAAAGCCUGAUCCAGCAAUGCCGCGUGAGUGAUGAAGGCCUUAGGGUUGUAAAGCUCUUUUACCAGGGAUGAUAAUGACAGUACCUGGAGAAUAAGCUCCGGCUAACUCCGUG